Molecule: ribosomal RNA, 468 nt
Filed under: uncultured bacterium
Lineage: Bacteria
Description: partial 16S ribosomal RNA
Rfam family: Bacterial small subunit ribosomal RNA
Source: RNAcentral
GACGAACGCUGGCGGCGCGCCUAACACAUGCAAGUCGAACGGAGCUGCGAGAAGCUUGCUUUUCUUAGCUUAGUGGCGAACGGGUGAGUAACGCGUGAGUAACCUGCCCUGGAGUGGGGGACAACAGUUGGAAACGACUGCUAAUACCGCAUAAGCCCACGAUCCGGCAUCGGAUUGAGGGAAAAGGAUUUAUUCGCUUCAGGAUGGACUCGCGUCCAAUUAGCUAGUUGGUGAGGUAACGGCCCACCAAGGCGAGGAUUGGUAGCCGGACUGGGCGGUUGAACGGCCACAAUGGGACUGAGACACGGCCCAGACUCCUACGGGAGGGAGGAGUGGGGGAUAGUGCACAAUGGGGCAAACCCUGAUGCAGCGACGCCGCGUGGAGGAAGAAGGUUUUCGGAUUGUAAACUCCUGUCGUUAGGGACGAUAAUGACGGUACCUAACAAGAAAGCACCGGCUAACUACGUG